Podarcis lilfordi (Lilford's wall lizard) is the source of this 66-nucleotide non-coding RNA. The record is from the annotation of a GenBank genome assembly. Lineage: Eukaryota; Metazoa; Chordata; Lepidosauria; Squamata; Lacertidae.
GAGCUCAGCUGGUAGAGCACAAGACUCUUAAUCUAAGGGCCAUGGGUUACAGCCCCACGUUGGGCA